RNAcentral lists this ribosomal RNA (413 nucleotides) under uncultured bacterium. Its description in RNAcentral is "bacterial SSU rRNA". It matches the Rfam family "Bacterial small subunit ribosomal RNA", at positions 505 to 916 of the family's 1533-position model. The record is from RNAcentral.
GUGCCAGCAGCCGCGGUAAUACGUAGGGGGUAAGCGUUGUCCGGAUUUACUGGGUGUAAAGGGCGCGUAGGCGGAUCUGUAAGUCAGUGGUGAAAUCCUACAGCUUAACUGUAGAACUGCCUUUGAUACUGCAGAUCUUGAGUUUGGAAGAGAGAGAUGGAAUUCCAGGUGUAGUGGUGAAAUACGUAGAUAUCUGGAAGAACACCAGUGGCGAAGGCGACUUACUGGACUGUGUCUGACGCUGAGGCGCGAAAGCUAGGGGAGAGAACAGGAUUAGAUACCCUGGUAUUCCUAGCUGUAAACGAUGGGUACUAGGUGUGGGGGGUAUCGACCCCUUCCGUGCCGGAGUUAACGCAAUAAGUACCCCGCCUGGGGAGUACGGCCGCAAGGUUGAAACUUAAAGGAAUUGGCGG